RNAcentral lists this ribosomal RNA (254 nucleotides) under uncultured bacterium. RNAcentral describes it as "partial 16S ribosomal RNA". It matches the Rfam family "Bacterial small subunit ribosomal RNA", at positions 524 to 776 of the family's 1533-position model. The record is from RNAcentral.
UACGGGGGGGGCAAGCGUUGUUCGGAAUUACUGGGCGUAAAGGGCGCGUAGGCGGUCACCGCAAGUCGACUGUGAAAUCUCCGGGCUUAACCCGGAAAGGUCAGCCGAUACUGCGGGGCUAGAGUGCAGAAGGGGCAACUGGAAUUCUCGGUGUAGCGGUGAAAUGCGUAGAUAUCGAGAGGAACACCUGCGGCGAAGGCGGGUUGCUGGGCUGACACUGACGCUGAAGCGCGAAAGCUAGGGGAGCGAACGGG